RNAcentral lists this ribosomal RNA (497 nucleotides) under uncultured bacterium. RNAcentral's name for it is "partial 16S ribosomal RNA". It matches the Rfam family "Bacterial small subunit ribosomal RNA", at positions 28 to 507 of the family's 1533-position model. The record is from RNAcentral.
GAUGAACGCUGGCGGCGUGCCUAAUACAUGCAAGUCGAGCGAACAGACGAGAAGCUUGCUCCUCUGACGUUAGCGGCGGACGGGUGAGUAACACGUGGAUAACCUACCUAUAAGACUGGGAUAACUUCGGGAAACCGUAGCUAAUACCGGAUAAUAUAUUGAACCGCAUGGUUCAAUAGUGAAAGACGGUUUUGCUGUCACUUAUAGAUGGAUCCGCGCCGCAUUAGCUAGUUGGUAAGGUAACGGCUUACCAAGGCAACGAUGCGUAGCCGACCUGAGAGGGUGAUCGGCCACACUGGAACUGAGACACGGUCCAGACUCCUACGGGAGGCAGCAGUAGGGAAUCUUCCGCAAUGGGCGAAAGCCUGACGGAGCAACGCCGCGUGAGUGAUGAAGGUCUUCGGAUCGUAAAACUCUGUUAUUAGGGAAGAACAAAUGUGUAAGUAACUAUGCACGUCUUGACGGUACCUAAUCAGAAAGCCACGGCUAACUACGUG